RNAcentral lists this transfer RNA (76 nucleotides) under Coriobacteriia bacterium. Its description in RNAcentral is "tRNA-Arg". It matches the Rfam family "tRNA". Rfam says of the family: Transfer RNA (tRNA) molecules are approximately 80 nucleotides in length. The record is from RNAcentral. Lineage: Bacteria; Bacillati; Actinomycetota; Coriobacteriia. RNAcentral also lists the same sequence under 2 other names.
GCCCUCUUAGCUCAGGGGAUAGAGCACAGGUUUCCUAAACCUGGUGUCGGAGGUUCGAAUCCUCCAGGGGGCACCA